UUUCCUCUCUGAAGGCCAGAAUCUUAGUCUUCAUAAAUUACCAAUUCUCUUUUCACCCUGAGAGCCAACUAGCAAAGCUCUGGUAUUGUUUUAAAGAAAUUCAGAGACUGGUUUAUAAAUUAAAAGGACGGGUCUAUAGAACUAUUUAAAAUGGAUUUAUUUUUCUAACAAAAAAUAUGCCGAGAAUCAGGAACAGACUCUCUCCAAGGUCCAACCAUCCUCCAAAUCCUUCAUCUGAGAGCCAUAAAAGGACCUUGAAGAAACGGUGUGGGCAGAUGACCUGCCAAGAAGGCUGUUGAGAGGAGGAAUACACACACAUCAUGCCGUAUCUAGUUAUACUGGUGUAAAUCAAGAGUGACUCCAUUAUUUACAAGUGUGUAAAUGAGAUCUGAAUAUGGCCUGUCUAUUGUAAAUUUAAGAAGCAGUGAAGUGAUUCAUUAAAUUGAUCUUUAAAUGCCUCGGAAAAAUAAGAGCAGCUUAGUUACGUUUGUGAAAAACAGCUGAUUGAUAUGGACAACUUCUAGACAAGCUAG
Molecule: long non-coding RNA, 533 nt
Filed under: Gopherus agassizii (Agassiz's desert tortoise)
Lineage: Eukaryota; Metazoa; Chordata; Testudines; Testudinidae
Description: lncRNA (ENSGAGG00000017927.1)
Source: RNAcentral